Unclassified non-coding RNA from Otolemur garnettii (small-eared galago), 310 nucleotides. Its record names the gene 7SK. It matches the Rfam family "7SK RNA". From Rfam's summary of the family: 7SK was discovered as an abundant small nuclear RNA in the mid-70s but a possible function has only recently been suggested. Two independent studies have found that 7SK RNA binds the CDK9/cyclin T complex (known as elongation factor P-TEFb). The record is from Ensembl. NCBI's taxonomy places the organism in Eukaryota, Metazoa, Chordata, Mammalia, Primates, Galagidae.
GGAUGUGAGGGUGAUCUGGCUGUGACAUCUGUCACUCCAUUGAUUGCCAGGGUUGAUUCAGUUGAUCUGGCUGGCUAGGCAGGUGUCCCCUUCCUCCCUCACUGCUCCAUGUGCAUCCCUUUGGAAGCUGUGCGCUCAGUGGAAGAGGACGACCUUCCCUGAUAGAGGAGGACUAUUCUUCAGUCAAGGGUAUACGAGUAGCUGCACUCCUCUGCUAGAACGUCCAAACAAGCUUACAAGAAAGCAAGCACUUGAAAAAGUUCUCUAUCUAGACCAGCGGUUCUCAACCUGUGGGUUGCAACCCCUUUGU